ACCGGCUAACUCCGUGCCAGCAGCCGCGGUAAUACGGAGGGUGCAGGCGUUAUCCGGAUUUACUGGGUUUAAAGGGUGCGUAGGCGGGUAAGUAAGUCCGUGGUGAAAUCUCCGGGCUUAACUCAGAAACUGCCAUGGAUACUAUUUGUCUUGAAUAUUGUGGAGGUGAGCGGAAUAUGUCAUGUAGCGGUGAAAUGCUUAGAUAUGACAUAGAACACCAAUUGCGAAGGCAGCUCACUACACAAAAAUUGACGCUGAGGCACGAAAGCGUGGGGAUCAAACACGAUUAGAUACCCUGGUAGUCCACGCCCUAAACGAUGAUUACUCGACAU
RNAcentral lists this ribosomal RNA (332 nucleotides) under uncultured Chitinophagaceae bacterium. RNAcentral describes it as "bacterial SSU rRNA". It matches the Rfam family "Bacterial small subunit ribosomal RNA", at positions 492 to 823 of the family's 1533-position model. The record is from RNAcentral. Lineage: Bacteria; Pseudomonadati; Bacteroidota; Chitinophagia; Chitinophagales; Chitinophagaceae.